RNAcentral lists this ribosomal RNA (425 nucleotides) under uncultured bacterium. RNAcentral describes it as "partial 16S ribosomal RNA". It matches the Rfam family "Bacterial small subunit ribosomal RNA", at positions 354 to 796 of the family's 1533-position model. The record is from RNAcentral.
GUGGGGAAUAUUGGACAAUGGGCGCAAGACUGAUCCAGCAAUUCCGCGUGAGCGAAGAAGGCCUUCGGGUUGUAAAGCUCUUUCGGCGGGGACGAUAAUGACGGUACCCGCAGAAGAAGCCCCGGCUAACUCCGUGCCAGCAGCCGCGGUAAUACGGAGGGGGCUAGCGUUGUUCGGAAUCACUGGGCGUAAAGCGCACGUAGGCGGCUACUCCAGUCAGAGGUGAAAGCCCGGGGCUCAACUCCGGAAUUGCCUUUGAAACUAGGUAGCUUGAACGUCGGAGAGGUAAGUGGAAUUCCGAGUGUAGAGGUGAAAUUCGUAGAUAUUCGGAAGAACACCAGUGGCGAAGGCGACUUACUGGACGACUGUUGACGCUGAGGUGCGAAAGCGUGGGGAGCGAACGGGAUUAGAAACCCCAGUAGUCC